RNAcentral lists this ribosomal RNA (172 nucleotides) under Leiuranus semicinctus (saddled snake-eel). RNAcentral describes it as "partial 12S ribosomal RNA". The record is from RNAcentral. Lineage: Eukaryota; Metazoa; Chordata; Actinopteri; Anguilliformes; Ophichthidae.
CACCGCGGUUAGACGGGAGGCCCAAACUGAUGCCCUGCGGCGUAAAGCGUGAUUAGGAUCAACUCAAACUAAAGCCGAACGGCUCCUCAACUGUUAUACGUUUAAAGAGACACGAAGCCCAACAACGAAAGUGACUUUAACUAAACAUCCUGAAUUCACGAAAAUUAAGAAA